This 1294-nucleotide ribosomal RNA is filed under the name uncultured bacterium. RNAcentral describes it as "bacterial SSU rRNA". It matches the Rfam family "Bacterial small subunit ribosomal RNA", at positions 88 to 1399 of the family's 1533-position model. The record is from RNAcentral.
UAACUUAGUGGCGGACGGGUGAGUAACGCGUGGGAAACCUGCCCUGUACCGGGGGAUAACAUUCUGAAAAGAAUGCUAAUACCGCAUGACAUAUCGGAAUCACAUGAUUUUGAUAUCAAAGAUUUUAUCGCUUGAAGAUGGACUCGCGUCCGAUUAGUUAGUUGGUGAAGUAACGGCUCACCAAGACCGCGAUCGGUAGCCGGACUGAGAGGUUGAACGGCCACAUUGGGACUGAGACACGGCCCAGACUCCUACGGGAGGCAGCAGUGGGGGAUAUUGCGCAAUGGGGGCAACCCUGACGCAGCAACGCCGCGUGAAGGAUGAAGGUUUUCGGAUUGUAAACUUCUUUUAUUAAGGACGAAAAAUGACGGUACUUAAUGAAUAAGCUCCGGCUAACUACGUGCCAGCAGCCGCGGUAAAACGUAGGGUGCAAGCGUUGUCCGGAAUUACUGGGUGUAAAGGGAGCGCAGGCGGACCGGCAAGUUGGAAGUGAAAACUAUGGGCUCAACCCAUAAAUUGCUUUCAAAACUGCUGGCCUUGAGUAGUGCAGAGGUAGGUGGAAUUCCCGGUGUAGCGGUGGAAUGCGUAGAUAUCGGGAGGAACACCAGUGGCGAAGGCGACCUACUGGGCACCAACUGACGCUGAGGCUCGAAAGCAUGGGUAGCAAACAGGAUUAGAUACCCUGGUAGUCCAUGCCGUAAACGAUGAUUACUAGGUGUUGGAGGAUUGACCCCUUCAGUGCCGCAGUUAACACAAUAAGUAAUCCACCUGGGGAGUACGACCGCAAGGUUGAAACUCAAAGGAAUUGACGGGGGCCCGCACAAGCAGUGGAGUAUGUGGUUUAAUUCGAAGCAACGCGAAGAACCUUACCAGGUCUUGACAUCCGAUGCAUAGUGCAGAGAUGCAUGAAGUCCUUCGGGACAUCGAGACAGGUGGUGCAUGGCUGUCGUCAGCUCGUGUCGUGAGAUGUUGGGUUAAGUCCCGCAACGAGCGCAACCCCCGCCGCGUGUUGCCAUCGGGUGAUGCCGGGAACCCACGCGGGACCGCCGCCGUCAAGGCGGAGGAGGGCGGGGACGACGUCAAGUCAUCAUGCCCCUUAUGCCCUGGGCUGCACACGUGCUACAAUGGCCGGUACAGAGGGAUGCCACCCCGCGAGGGGGAGCGGAUCCCGGAAAGCCGGCCCCAGUUCGGAUUGGGGGCUGCAACCCGCCCCCAUGAAGUCGGAGUUGCUAGUAAUCGCGGAUCAGCAUGCCGCGGUGAAUGCGUUCCCGGGCCUUGCACACACCGCCCGUCA